RNAcentral lists this transfer RNA (73 nucleotides) under Lachnospiraceae bacterium. RNAcentral describes it as "tRNA_Gln_TTG". It matches the Rfam family "tRNA". From Rfam's summary of the family: Transfer RNA (tRNA) molecules are approximately 80 nucleotides in length. Their secondary structure includes four short double-helical elements and three loops (D, anti-codon, and T loops). The record is from RNAcentral. Lineage: Bacteria; Bacillati; Bacillota; Clostridia; Lachnospirales; Lachnospiraceae.
UAGGGUGUCGUACAACUGGUUAGUACACAGGACUUUGACUCCUGUAAUAUGGGUUCGAGUCCCGUCACCCUUG